AUAAUAGCCAAGUUCUAAUUAAUAGCAAGUUCGGCACUCUCUUUUUUUAGCUCCUCGCUGCUCAUAGAAGGACAUGUAACUCUAGCAUUGAACUUGGAAGGUCAUUCUUGGGCAACGACUUGAGCGCCUCACAAUUACUGAUCUCCAAAAUUUUGAGAGAAAUCGGGUGGCUCUUGGGCAACUCCUUGAUGGCAUAACAAUAGACAAUCUGCAAUUUUUUCAGAGAUCUCAGAAUGUUGUUCGACAACGACUUGUUGGCAUAAGAGUAGAUGAUAUGUAAUCCCCGGACUUGGUGUAUAGAUGAAGUAGAACUUACUGUUAAUCCAUGGCUGUAGUAGAACUUGUCCUCCAGCAGGGAAGAGCGAGGCGACCUCGAGCACAGCCAGAGCCAGCACGUCUGCUGGUGGAUGGCUCGGCCUGGGGCAGUGUGUUGGUAGCAUCGUGUGUGGCCGACGGUGGGAUGCAAGGUGGCUGUUUCCGAAGGAAUGCGUGGCGGUGGCAAGCAAUCUGAAUGCGAACAGAAGAUGAACUUCUAACCUGCAGUUAUUUCGCAUUUUGAUUUUCCUCUCACAAGUUAAACUUCUAACUUGUAGUUUUUUUGCACUUACUUAAUCUCACAUGUUAAACUUCCAACCUGUAGUUGACCAGAAGCCAUCCAAAGUCACGAACGCAAGAGAGCAUGAUCCUCUGCUCAUGUUAAUGAUACACAGGAAGACCAUCUGUAGAAAGCACGUCUCAUCAAUCUUUUAACCAAAAUAUGUGGCUUUCUUAGUAAGCAAACAAAGAAGAACAUCUUCAAGUAACAAAUUUGCUCCAAGCCGACGGGGAUAGCACCUCUUAUCAUUCCUUCAACCACGGAUAUCAGCAAGUUCAAACCAGAAAAACAUGGGU
This 891-nucleotide long non-coding RNA is filed under the name Triticum aestivum (bread wheat). RNAcentral's name for it is "long non-coding RNA (TAES_LNC028499)". Lineage: Eukaryota; Viridiplantae; Streptophyta; Magnoliopsida; Poales; Poaceae. The record is from RNAcentral.